GACACCUGGGGGACACCUGAGUGACAUCAGGGUCACUGUGCCAGGUCCAGGUGACAGCCGUGUCACUGUCCCAGUGUCCGUGUGUCACUGUUCCCGUGUCCGGGUGUCACAGCAUUGUCACUGUUCCUGUGUCACUGUUCCCGUGUCCGGGUGUCACAGCCAAGUCCGGGUGUCACAGCCGUGUCACUGUUCCCAUGUCUGGGUGUCACAGCAUUGUCACUGUUCCAGUGUCACCGUUCCGUGUCCGGGUGUCACUGUUCCCGUAUGACUGUUCCUGUGUCCGGGUGUCACAACUGUGUCACUGUUCCUGUGUCACUGUUCCCGUGUUACUGUUCCCAUGUCCGGGUGUCACAGCCGUGUCCGGGUGUCACCGUUCCUGUGUCACUGUUCCCGUGUCCGGGUGUCACUGUUCUGGUGUCACUGUUCCUGUGUCACUGUUCCCGUGUCUGGGUGUCACUGUCCCCGUGUCCGGGUGUCACUGUUCCUGUGUCCAGGUGUCACAGCCAUGUCACUGUUCCUGUGUCACUGUUCCUGUGUCACUGUCCCCGUGUCCGGGUGUCACAGCCGUGUCCGGGUGUCACUGUCCCCGUGUCCCCCAGCAGGGCCACCCUGGGGCCACCAAACUCCUGUGGCGCCAUUUGGAGGGGUGACUUUGACCUGUGACGUCACCCCGAUGAUGUCAUCACUCCGUAAUGUCACCCCAAUGACAUCACUGCCCAAUGACAUCACUGCCCAAUGACAUCACCCAAAUGACAUCACUGCCCAAUGACAUCACUGCCCAAUGACAUCACAACCCCAAUGACAUCACCAUCCCAUGACGUCACCCUGAUGACAUCACCGCACAAUGACAUCACCAUCCCAUGACGUCACCCUAAUGACAUCACUUUCCAAUGACAUCACAGCCCAAUGAUAUCACCCCAAUGACAUCACCGUCACAUAAUGACAGCCAGUACAUCACAGCCUCAAGACGUCACCCCGAUGACAUCAUCCAAUGACAUCACAACCCCAAUGACAUCACCAUCCCAUGACAUCACCCUGAUGACAUCACCGCCCAAUGACAUCACCGCUCCAUGACGUCACCCUGAUGACAUCACAACCCAAUGACAUGAUCCAAUGACAUCACAACCUCAAUGAUAUCACCGUCCCAUGACGUCACCCUGAUGACAUCACCACACCAAUGACAUCAUCGCCCCAUGACAUCACCCCGAUGACAUCACCGCCCAAUGAUAUCACAGCCCAAUGACAUCACCCCAAUGACGUCACCCUAAUGACAUCACUUCCCAAUGACAUCACGCCCCCAUGACGUCACCCCAACGCCC
RNAcentral lists this long non-coding RNA (1319 nucleotides) under Parus major (Great Tit). RNAcentral's name for it is "lncRNA (ENSPMJG00000002016.1)". Lineage: Eukaryota; Metazoa; Chordata; Aves; Passeriformes; Paridae. The record is from RNAcentral.